Molecule: ribosomal RNA, 380 nt
Filed under: uncultured eukaryote
Lineage: Eukaryota
Description: partial 18S ribosomal RNA
Rfam family: Eukaryotic small subunit ribosomal RNA
Source: RNAcentral
CAAUAGCGUAUAUUAAAGUUGUUGCGGUUAAAAAGCUCGUAGUUGGAUUUCUGCUGAGAACGACCGGUCCGCCCUUUGGGUGUGUAUCUGGCUCUUUCUUGGCAUCUUCUUGGUGAACGUUGCUGCACUUGACUGUGUGGAGCGCUACCCAGGACUUUUACUUUGAGGAAAUUAGAGUGUUUCAAGCAGGCAUACGCCUUGAAUACAUUAGCAUGGAAUAAUAAGAUAGGACCUCGGUUCUAUUUUGUUGGUUUCUAGAGCUGAGGUAAUGAUUAAUAGGGAUAGUUGGGGGCAUUCGUAUUUAACUGUCAGAGGUGAAAUUCUUGGACCGGCUAAAGACGGACAACUGCGAAAGCGUUUGCCCAGGAUGUUUUCAUUGA